This is a long non-coding RNA of Oncorhynchus keta (chum salmon), 469 nucleotides long. RefSeq lists it as uncharacterized. The transcript has 2 exons. NCBI's taxonomy places the organism in Eukaryota, Metazoa, Chordata, Actinopteri, Salmoniformes, Salmonidae. The record is from RefSeq and is a predicted model, not a curated record.
AGAAAAACAAUGAAUAACAUCAAUGCUAGGGGUCUGUUCUUCAAAUCUACUUUGGGGCAUUAUCAAAAGAUGCUAUCUUAACCAACAUGAUUAUAUGUAUUCAAAUAUAGAAAUAUUUGUCAAAUAUUGUCCGCAACACUCCUAAAGCCACCAUCAUCUUAUUAUUAGUGUGUAAAGACCAAACAAUUUCUACUCUAUAAUCACCCUCCUGUUUUCUUUAGGGAGAAGUAUCUGAACACUCUGCUGCAGGUGGAGAUGAUGCUGAAGCAGAGAAAUGGUCGGUACCUGCUUCAGGUGUUCCACCGCUUUGCCUACCAACUCCUCCGCCCCGUGAGGAACCUUGAUCUUGUUGUUGACUGUGGAAGCAGAUAAAUGUCAUCAAGGCAGAGACCAACAUCACAUAGCCACUGUGUCCCUACUGUCUGAUCAUGCAGUAUCAGAUAUACAAUAAAAACAUGUUUUUGCAUUA